Molecule: ribosomal RNA, 255 nt
Filed under: uncultured prokaryote
Description: partial 16S ribosomal RNA
Rfam family: Bacterial small subunit ribosomal RNA
Source: RNAcentral
UACGGAGGAUGCAAGCGUUAUCCGGAUUUAUUAGGUUUAAAGGGUGCGUAGGCGGACUUGUAAGUCAGCGGUGAAAUACUACAGCUUAACUGUAGAACUGCCGUUGAUACUGUGAGUCUUGAGUAUAGUUGAGGUAGGCGGAAUGUGUAGUGUAGCGGUGAAAUGCUUAGAUAUUGCACAGAACACCGAUUGCGAAGGCAGCUUACUAAGCUAUAACUGACGCUGAGGCACGAAAGCAUGGGGGAGCAAACAGGA